This 292-nucleotide ribosomal RNA is filed under the name uncultured bacterium. Its description in RNAcentral is "partial 16S ribosomal RNA". It matches the Rfam family "Bacterial small subunit ribosomal RNA", at positions 505 to 796 of the family's 1533-position model. The record is from RNAcentral.
GUGCCAGCAGCCGCGGUAAUACGGAGGGUGCAAGCGUUAUCCGGAUUUACUGGGUUUAAAGGGUGCGUAGGCGUCCCGACAAGUUUUCGGUGAAAUCUCUCCGCUCAACGGAGAAACUGCCGGGAAAACUGUCGGGAUUGAGUUCGGUUGAGGUGGGCGGAAUACAGCAUGUAGCGGUGAAAUGCUUAGAUAUGCUGUAGAACACCAAUUGCGAAGGCAGCUCACUAAACCGACACUGACGCUGAGGCACGAAAGCGUGGGGAUCGAACAGGAUUAGAUACCCCUGUAGUCC